GCGGGUUCUGGGGUUGUUUCAGCGAUUAUUACCUUUAAGAAUAGUCUGUCUUCACAGUGAUCGUUCUUUACAUUUCUCCACACACAGAGUAAGAAGAAAGCCCGACAUUCAUUCACUUUGUGAGCAGUGUUCAGUGAAGAAAAGAUCGGUUUCUCAUCCUGAGGAAAGCGGAGGCUGCAGAUGCUGAUGUCGACAGAACUGGACAUCUACAAGGGAGACGACUGCCAACCAUGACUAGUCCAGCGUCAGGACAGACAUCAUUGUCAUCACAAGCUCAGGAAUUCUGGAUACAAUGGGUUGAGGACGCCUUCCUGACCUCGACUCUCGCGCCUACUUCCUGCCUCCUGUCUACUUCAACCGCGUGCCAUGACUAGACGGUCCAUUUUUGGCCACCAUGUGCUUGUCCCUCAGACACCACCUGGGGAGGAUGGCCAAGCCUGUCCCAAGCCUGCUAAAGUUCAGGAGAGUGACAUUAGAGACGAUACAGCCAUGCAGCGGGUUCUCUUCUGUCUUCAGAGGUUGUCAGAGAAAACAAAGGAAGUUUUUGUUGGAAUCAGUCAGCUUCAGUUCGGACAGUACCUGAGGGAACCUUGUUACGCUGCCGCUGCUAAAUACCUACCCCGAUCCGACAACCUUUCUCCUGAUCGGCCACGGAAUCGGAAAGAGGGAGACUUUGAUGUUCUUCUUAUUCACCGACAUUACGGGUUGGUCAUCUGUGAGGUGAAAGCUUUUGGUGACAACGUGAACGAAAUUAACAUGUCACAGCAGGACAUAGACAAAAACAUUAGGAAGAAACUAAAAGACGCCAUGACACAGCUGGACAAGGCGGAGGCCAUGUUGUCUCACCUGGUGUCCGACAUCGCUCCUGGUCUGAGAAUCUCUAAGACGAUCGCCGUCCCUAACCUCACGAGGCACCAGGUACAACAGGCUGUCUCUGAAGACUUAGAACUGACACAGGCCCUGUGUCAGUGUCUGGGAACAAAAGAACCUGCGGACAUCACUGGUCUGUGUCUCUGCUCUGAUCAGAUGUCUGACCGCAGGAUACCAGGUGAUGUCAGUAGCGAUGUUCUAAGGGAGAUGGAGAACUGGUGGCAGCGACGUGUGACUGAGGCUGGACCUGAUAGUCACAUGACCUGUCACGUGUACAAGACAUUAGUAGCACGGUUCUGUGGUCCGGCGACAACAGUGACUGUCCCAUGCACAUGUCCUCCACGUGUGAGUGUCAAGACCCUGGGUCAGGCCGUGUCGUGGACAGGAGAGGUCUACACCGCGCAAAUAACAUUAUUCCCAGAACAAGUCGACCUGCUGAACAGGGCGCCUCUCAGACUCUUUGUGGCCGGUCCACCUGGCACAGGUAAGACUGUGGUGCUGCUGCUGAUGGGCAUAAGAAUGGCUGAGAUGUGGCCACGAUGUCUACAUUGUGAGCACCUGUUGGGAGAGUCGUGCAGCGUGCAUCAUGCUGCACCACGUGCUGCGGCAAAGGUUGGAGGAGCCGCUGACUGGAGCAGCACCUGGUCAGCUUCACCUCCUGCAGUCUGAUCAAACACGGGAUGAAGAGGUGGAGAAGGGUCGUCAAUGACUUGUCGCAUGCGGCGAGGGGAGAGUCGUUGUACGUCCUCGCUGAUGAAGUGGGAGGCAAGUUCCAAACUUUCUGUGGCCAGCUGCUGACACAAGUUCCACAUCUCCAUCUUUGGGCGGCAAAUUGUUUCCAUGGAUACGCAUCUGCCGGCUGGGAAGUGGAAUAUUUAGCCAGGCCCCUCCGCUCUCCACCCGCCGUCGUCAGGGAAGUGGAGCAGGACGACUUCAUCAAUGACCGUCGUGUCCACGCGUACAGUGAGCGAGGUGUGCCCGACCACACAGACGGCCCGCCAGUCAGACAGGUGUGUCACCGAGGUCAGGGUCACUCGGGUGACUGGCCAGCUGACUGUGUCACGUGCGGUCGUGAGGUGGCCAGCUUCCUACACAGUCUCCGUGAUAGUGUCCCGGGUAGGUGUAGGUAUUGUGUAGUCUACGUCUGAACCCAAAAUAUGAGUGUGAUUCUGUAUUAUAUAAACUAUAUGUCAUCAUCAUCAUCA
This 2075-nucleotide unclassified non-coding RNA is filed under the name Pomacea canaliculata. RNAcentral's name for it is "uncharacterized LOC112576323, transcript variant X1". The record is from RNAcentral. Lineage: Eukaryota; Metazoa; Mollusca; Gastropoda; Architaenioglossa; Ampullariidae.